Molecule: long non-coding RNA, 540 nt
Organism: Erinaceus europaeus (western European hedgehog)
Lineage: Eukaryota; Metazoa; Chordata; Mammalia; Eulipotyphla; Erinaceidae
Exons: 4
Source: RefSeq, a predicted model, not a curated record
UCUACACUUCCUGCUCUUCAACUGAACAUCAUGAAGCUCUUGGUGCUCCUAGUGCUGGUGGCAUCUUCCACCUUCUUGGUCUUGGGCAAGGAUUCUUCUAAUACAACUGAGCCGCUCACCGAUGUACCUGAAGCUGAAACGGACAUUGCUCCUGAUGAUGAAACAACCACAGAUGAACCUGACCAAUACCCCACCACUCUUCUUGACAUACUGAAAAAAUUACUUUCCCACUAAUGGAUACUUUCCCACCUUGGGCUUCAACAUUUGAUUGUGCUGAUAUGGGCCAAUGAUUUCUCCAUUUGAGAUUCUUCGAUUACUACUACCUUGCAUACCAAAUAUUUCAAAUUGAGUUAUUUACUUCCAAAUAAAACUAAUUAUCAGCAACACCCCAAAUUUGUUUUAUUUAGGAGUCCUUACCUGUUGUUUUAGUCAAGUCAAAUGACAGAAACUUUGAAUUUUAUUAAUCCCAUUUUAAUGUAACUUCUGAGUCAUAAAUUUCUUUUAAUUUUGAUAAGUCAGAGGUGAACUGAGAGGGAGAGA